This 76-nucleotide transfer RNA is filed under the name Pseudoalteromonas tetraodonis. Its description in RNAcentral is "tRNA-Val". It matches the Rfam family "tRNA". From Rfam's summary of the family: Transfer RNA (tRNA) molecules are approximately 80 nucleotides in length. Their secondary structure includes four short double-helical elements and three loops (D, anti-codon, and T loops). Further hydrogen bonds mediate the characteristic L-shaped molecular structure. tRNAs have two regions of fundamental functional importance: the anti-codon, which is responsible for specific mRNA codon recognition, and the 3' end, to which the tRNAs corresponding amino acid is attached (by aminoacyl-tRNA synthetases). tRNAs cope with the degeneracy of the genetic code in two manners: having more than one tRNA (with a specific anti-codon) for a particular amino acid; and 'wobble' base-pairing, i.e. permitting non-standard base-pairing at the 3rd anti-codon position. Lineage: Bacteria; Pseudomonadati; Pseudomonadota; Gammaproteobacteria; Alteromonadales; Pseudoalteromonadaceae. The record is from RNAcentral. RNAcentral also lists the same sequence under 8 other names.
GGGUGAUUAGCUCAGUUGGGAGAGCAUCGCCCUUACAAGGCGAGGGUCACUGGUUCAAGUCCAGUACGACCCACCA